AACCCAUGGUGAGGGCACCUGCUUAGUAAGUCCUUGUAUCUCUCCCAUGCAUCAUAGAAGGUUUCUAAAUCCAUCUGCACAAAAGAAGUGAUGUCAUUACGUAAUUU
Molecule: non-coding RNA, 107 nt
Organism: Gossypium hirsutum (cotton)
Lineage: Eukaryota; Viridiplantae; Streptophyta; Magnoliopsida; Malvales; Malvaceae
Source: Rfam